GACGAGCGCUGGCGGCGUGCUUAACACAUGCAAGUCGAACGGAAAGGCCCUGCUUUUGUGGGGUGCUCGAGUGGCGAACGGGUGAGUAACACGGGAGUAACCUGCCCUUGACUUUGGGAUAACUUCAGGAAACUGGGGCUAAUACCGGAUAGGAGCUCCUGCUGCAUGGUGGGGGUUGGAAAGUUUCGGCGGUUGGGGAUGGACUCGCGGCUUAUCAGCUUGUUGGUGGGGUAGUGGCUUACCAAGGCUUUGACGGGUAGCCGGCCUGAGAGGGUGGCCGGCCACAUUGGGACUGAGAGACGGCCCAGACUCCUACGGGAGGCAGCAGUGGGGAAUAUUGCACAGUGGGCGGAAGCCUGAUGCAGCAACGCCGCGUGCGGGAUGACGGCCUUCGGGUUGUAAACCGCUUUCGCCUGUGACGAAGCGUGAGUGACGGUAAUGAGUAAAGAAGCACCGGCUAACUACGUG
Molecule: ribosomal RNA, 468 nt
Filed under: uncultured bacterium
Lineage: Bacteria
Description: partial 16S ribosomal RNA
Rfam family: Bacterial small subunit ribosomal RNA
Source: RNAcentral